Xiphias gladius (swordfish) is the source of this 679-nucleotide long non-coding RNA. RefSeq lists it as uncharacterized. NCBI's taxonomy places the organism in Eukaryota, Metazoa, Chordata, Actinopteri, Istiophoriformes, Xiphiidae. The record is from RefSeq and is a predicted model, not a curated record. The transcript has 3 exons.
UCAAACUUCCGCUUCGCCGUUAAACUUCUGCCAGCGCGCGCUCGGCAGCUCUCUCUGCGCGUGGUUUUGGGGCGGGCUCGCUGGCUCGCACGCGCGCCUCUCGGCGGUUUCGCAGGGUGGAGGGUGCCGGUUGGUGCGUGGAGCGCGCUGCCGCCGCCGCGCCAGGAGAGGGAGAAGUGCUUUCAGUCCGUGGAUAGAUGAGGUGCUGAGGGCUGCUUCCCAUCAGAAACAUGCAGAAAAAGGGACAGAAUACAACUUUUAAGAGAUCCAUACCACAGGCAGAGAUAAUUACCCCUCUUCAACUGAAUCCAGAAUCCAGCACAAGAGCAGGAUACCCCAGCACAGAGCCUAGAGAAGCUGGCUAAUGUUGCAUAAAAUGUCAAUCACAGCGAUGCUUCAUUAGGUGUGUCUUUGCUGCAUUCUGGUACAGGCGCAUGUCUUUGAACUUCCUCUCAGCACAAAAGUGGAUCCCAAACUUAAGAGGGCAGCACCUGGGCUUGGCUAAAAUGUAUAUGUAUAUAUAUUCAUUUUACAGUAUCAGUUUGGAUGGAGAACAGAAAUAUAGAUUCUCAUAGUUUCACUGAAAUAGUAAAGUCAUGACCAACAUGAUAAAUCAUUUCUGUAUUUGCUGCUCAGCCGCUCACACAAAAACAAGCAAUACACCCUUUCUUCCACCUUG